This 529-nucleotide ribosomal RNA is filed under the name uncultured bacterium. RNAcentral describes it as "bacterial SSU rRNA". It matches the Rfam family "Bacterial small subunit ribosomal RNA", at positions 777 to 1310 of the family's 1533-position model. The record is from RNAcentral.
AAUAGAUACCCCAGGUAGUCCACGCCGUAAACGAUGAGUGCUAAGUGUUAGGGGGGUUUCCGCCCCUUAGUGCUGCAGCUAACGCAUUAAGCACUCCGCCUGGGGAGUACGGUCGCAAGACUGAAACUCAAAGGAAUUGACGGGGGCCCGCACAAGCGGCGGAGCAUGUUGCUUAAUUCGAGGCAACGCGAAGAACCUUACCUAGGUUGAACUAUGCAGGAAAAGCCACAGAGAUGUGGUGUCCUUGGGGCCUGCGAUAGGUGGUGCAUGGCUGUCGUCAGCUCGUGUCGCGAGAUGUUGGGUUAAGUCCCGCAACGAGCGCAACCCUUAUCGCUAGUUGCCAGCAUUCAGUUGGGCACUCUAGCGAGACAGCCGGUGAAAGCCGGAGGAAGGUGGGGAUGACGUCAAAUCAUCAUGCCCCUUAUGUCCUGGGCUACACACGUGCUACAAGUGCCGGUACAAGUGGUCGCAACCGCGAGGGGAUACUAAUCCCACAAAACCGGUCUCAGUUCGGACUGCCAGGCUGACC